AGGACAUGGAGAGAGACCAGGAAGAGAGUAUGCUGGCUCUGGAUGUCUUCUGUGGUCAGUAGAUGAUUCAGACUGAAUACCACUGCCUAAAGUUGGACACUUAAAGGAUAGUCACUAAGGUGCCAGUCAAGAGAGAGGCAGACAGCAGGACAACGUAGCAAAGACUGCUUGCUGAAAAUGUUAUCAGAGGAAACAUUAAAGUUUUGUAUUUUGAACAGUUUAAAGGGUGAGAAACAUUAAACUUUUGUAUUUUGAACAGUUUAAAGGGUUCAAGACAACAGUUUGUUUUUA
This is a non-coding RNA of Macaca mulatta (Rhesus monkey), 291 nucleotides long. NCBI's taxonomy places the organism in Eukaryota, Metazoa, Chordata, Mammalia, Primates, Cercopithecidae. The record is from RefSeq and is a predicted model, not a curated record.